CAGUCGCCGCGGUAAAACGUAGGGUGCAAGCGUUAAUCGGAAUUACUGGGCGUAAAGCGUGCGCAGGCGGUUAUAUAAGACAGAUGUGAAAUCCCCGGGCUCAACCUGGGAACUGCAUUUGUGACUGUAUAGCUAGAGUACGGCAGAGGGGGAUGGAAUUCCGCGUGUAGCAGUGAAAUGCGUAGAUAUGCGGAGGAACACCGAUGGCGAAGGCAAUCCCCUGGGCCUGUACUGACGCUCAUGCACGAAAGCGUGGGGAGCAAACAGGAUUAGAUACCCGCGUAGUCCCUGUCUCUUAUAA
This 301-nucleotide ribosomal RNA is filed under the name uncultured bacterium. Its description in RNAcentral is "partial 16S ribosomal RNA". It matches the Rfam family "Bacterial small subunit ribosomal RNA", at positions 509 to 809 of the family's 1533-position model. The record is from RNAcentral.